RNAcentral lists this ribosomal RNA (446 nucleotides) under uncultured bacterium. RNAcentral describes it as "partial 16S ribosomal RNA". It matches the Rfam family "Bacterial small subunit ribosomal RNA", at positions 29 to 523 of the family's 1533-position model. The record is from RNAcentral.
AACGAACGCUGGCGGCAGGCUUAACACAUGCAAGUCGAGCGCCCCGCAAGGGGAGCGGCAGACGGGGGAGUAACACGUGGGAAUCUACCCAUCCCUACGGAACAACUCCGGGAAACUGGAGCUAAUACCGUAUACGCCCUUCGGGGGAAAGAUUUAUCGGGGAUGGAUGAGCCCGCGUUGGAUUAGCUAGUUGGUGGGGUAAAGGCCUACCAAGGCGACGAUCCAUAGCUGGUCUGAGAGGAUGAUCAGCCACAUUGGGACUGAGACACGGCCCAAACUCCUACGGGAGGCAGCAGUGGGGAAUAUUGGACAAUGGGCGCAAGCCUGAUCCAGCCAUGCCGCGUGAGUGAUGAAGGCCUUAGGGUUGUAAAGCUCUUUCACCGAUGAAGAUAAUGACGGUAGUCGGAGAAGAAGCCCGGCUAACUUCGGGCCAGCAGCCGCAGUAA